This 240-nucleotide unclassified non-coding RNA is filed under the name soil metagenome. RNAcentral's name for it is "partial contains 5.8S ribosomal RNA, internal transcribed spacer 2, and large subunit ribosomal RNA". The record is from RNAcentral.
AACGCACGAGACCUGCGGACCUGCGGAGGGAUCAUUAACGAGUGUAACUUACCCUUUUUUUUAAAAGAGGGUAGUACCUCCUGUCCUUUGUAGGCCCCUUUUUAUUGGGGGGCUUUUUAAGACUUUCUGCUUCGGCGGGGUUAUUCCCGCCGGAACACCCUCAAAAAACUCUUCAAAAACUAAUUCAGUCCGAGAAUUUUUGAAAAUAAAAAAAACUUUCAACAAUGGAUCUCUAGAUCG